GUAGGGAAUAUUGGGCAAUGGAGGCAACUCUGACCCAGCCAUGCCGCGUGCAGGAUGACGGCCCUCUGGGUUGUAAACUGCUUUUAUACGGGAAGAAAAAAUACUACGUGUAGUAUACUGACGGUACCGUAGGAAUAAGGAUCGGCUAACUCCGUGCCAGCAGCCGCGGUAAUACGGAGGAUCCAAGCGUUGUCCGGAUUUAUUGGGUUUAAAGGGUGCGUAGGCGGAUCUUUAAGUCAGUGGUGAAAGCCUGCAGCUUAACUGUAGAAUUGCCAUUGAAACUGAAGAUCUUGAAUGUGGUUAAAGUAGGCGGAAUGUAUCAUGUAGCGGUGAAAUGCUUAGAUAUGAUACAGAACACCGAUAGCGAAGGCAGCUUGCUGAACCAUUAUUGACGCUGAGGCACGAAAGCGUGGGGAGCGAACAGGAUUAGAAACCCGAGUAGUCC
RNAcentral lists this ribosomal RNA (445 nucleotides) under uncultured bacterium. RNAcentral's name for it is "partial 16S ribosomal RNA". It matches the Rfam family "Bacterial small subunit ribosomal RNA", at positions 354 to 796 of the family's 1533-position model. The record is from RNAcentral.